Long non-coding RNA from Parus major (Great Tit), 279 nucleotides. RefSeq lists it as uncharacterized. NCBI's taxonomy places the organism in Eukaryota, Metazoa, Chordata, Aves, Passeriformes, Paridae. The record is from RefSeq and is a predicted model, not a curated record. The transcript is spliced from 2 exons.
GUUGAAUUCUGUCCUGAUUUACGCCCCAUAACCUGGCAGCAGCUCAAGACAACCCGACGAGAUAAUCAUCACAUGCUGGCAAUCACUUGCCAUCAAUUAUCCCCACGCUGCUGCUGUCAGUGGAUCACAGCCCCUACCUGGUGGGAGUCACUGCUGGUGCCACCGAGGCAUUUGCCAGUAAUGUAGGACUGGGGAGGAUGGGAAACAGCUUCCAGACAGGCUCUGAGAUUGAUAUGCAAGCCAAAGGGAAAUGCAUUAAACUAUUUAACUGCCUGGAAA